CCAGACUCCUACGGGAGGCAGCAGUGGGGGAUAUUGGACAAUGGGGGAAACCCUGAUCCAGCGACGCCGCGUGAGUGAAGAAGUAUUUCGGUAUGUAAAGCCCUAUCGGCAGGGAAGAAAUUGGACGGUACCUGACUAAGAAGCCCCGGCUAACUACGUGCCAGCAGCCGCGGUAAUACGUAGGGGGCAAGCGUUAUCCGGAUUCACUGGGUGUAAAGGGAGCGUAGACGGCCAUGCAAGCCUGGAGUGAAAGCCCGGGGCCCAACCCUGGGACUGCUCUGGGAACUGUGCGGCUGGAGUGCGGGAGGGGCAGGCGGAAUUCCUGGUGUAGCGGUGAAAUGCGUAGAUAUCAGGAGGAACACCGGCGGCGAAGGCGGCCUGCUGGACCGUGACUGACGUUGAGGCUCGAGAGCGUGGGGAGCAAACAGGAUUAGAUACCCUUGUA
Molecule: ribosomal RNA, 445 nt
Filed under: uncultured bacterium
Lineage: Bacteria
Description: bacterial SSU rRNA
Rfam family: Bacterial small subunit ribosomal RNA
Source: RNAcentral